UUAUCGUUCCGGGUAAAAGAGCUUUACAACCCUAAGGCCUUCAUCACUCACGCGGCAUUGCUGGAUCAGGGUUUCCCCCAUUGUCCAAUAUUCCCUACUGCUGCCUCCCGUAGG
RNAcentral lists this ribosomal RNA (114 nucleotides) under uncultured bacterium. Its description in RNAcentral is "partial 16S ribosomal RNA". The record is from RNAcentral.